GGAGAUGCUGGCUGCCUGGACUCAGGUCGCAGUAGCAAUGGAAGGAGAUAGAGGCUCAGAGAGGUGACUUGAGUUGUCCAAGGUCAUACUGCAAGCAAAUGGCAGAGCUGGGCUUUGAAUCAGGCACUUCGGCUCUGAAGGUUUCUCUUCCACUACCACCUGGCUUGGUAUAGAGGCCUGGCUUAGAAGAAGCUGACUCAUGUGAGUCAGACAGCACUCUGAACUGGGCCCCCACUUUGUGCAGAACUCUAGCUGAGGCUUCUCAGGGGCAAGAAGAACACAACUCCCUCGGCCCCAGCCCCAGGGAACCUGCUGCCGUGGCUCAGGAAACAGACACAAGGCCAGCCUCUCUCCAUGUGGCCACUCCAGCAGAGAAGCUUGACUUCUUACCUGGAAUCUCAGGGCUCCGAAGGAGCUGCAAAGCCUUAACAAUGAGGCUGGAAAGAAAGAAUACCAGUCCCUGUCUCAUGGGGCAGUUCAGAGGAUGCAGAGACAGAACGUAUGCGCAGCACACAUCCCAGGGCCUCGCUACUGUUACCAUCAGCUCGCUCUGCUGCUGCCGUGUCUAAAACACCAGUUUCAGCCUUCCUACCUAAACAAGUGAUGAAGCCC
This 612-nucleotide long non-coding RNA is filed under the name Equus asinus (donkey). RNAcentral describes it as "lncRNA (ENSEASG00005035936.1)". The record is from RNAcentral. Lineage: Eukaryota; Metazoa; Chordata; Mammalia; Perissodactyla; Equidae.